RNAcentral lists this long non-coding RNA (163 nucleotides) under Mus spicilegus (steppe mouse). RNAcentral describes it as "lncRNA (ENSMSIG00000001944.1)". Lineage: Eukaryota; Metazoa; Chordata; Mammalia; Rodentia; Muridae. The record is from RNAcentral.
UAGCACCUCAGAACAUGACUGCCUACUGCUUCAAUGUUGUAUGUAGGAGAGAAGUAAACACUCCCGUUACUGGGGGAAACAUUGUUGUGUGGCAAUUUCUGCAAUUCGUGAGAGACAUGGAGCUUCCUCAUCAUCAAAUUUAACACAAAAUAUUUUCCUGAAG